Long non-coding RNA from Ostrea edulis (European flat oyster), 861 nucleotides. RefSeq lists it as uncharacterized. The record is from RefSeq and is a predicted model, not a curated record. Lineage: Eukaryota; Metazoa; Mollusca; Bivalvia; Ostreida; Ostreidae. The transcript is spliced from 3 exons.
GAGACCGAUAGCAACCACGUGAUCAGUAAAAAUCGUGUAUUUUCACGUGAAAUUAUUUUUCGGAAUUCCGUACAUCGCCAUAGAGUAGUUGAAAAACAAAAAGGGGUUCCGAAAGUACAAGUUGUUGCUGUGACUGAAUCGAUGAUUGAGAGGGUCGUCUCGACGAAAGAUAUAGAAAUUUGGCCAUAGUUUAGAUUAGGAAUACGUCAAUGUAAUAAUAGUGGACUAAAUGUUUCGUCCGUGCAGAAUGGCACUUUUUACCUCACGAAAUUCACCACCAUGCAUAGCUGCGCUACGUAAACAAAGUUGUUGAUGUAGCGUGAUCGUGAUGUCCGAGUUUCAAUACUGUUUAUGUAGUCAUUGAGAGUUUAAACAAAGUUUCUUCUGAGAAGAGGAAUUCGAUGGAUGCAUUCAACGUGGACAACGAAAUCAUAAUUUCGUUUGCAUCAUCCUAAGGACCAGUGCAAGUUGAAAUGGGCUUCCAGCCAACAACUUCAACAGCAAUUUGCCAUGAAAAUCAGCAAGAAAGGUACUUCAUUUACAUUGAUGAUGUCAUAUCUCCUGGACCCCACAACUUUACAGGUUACAGAGAAAAUUCAAGAACUUCUGCAAAAUAUGGGACUUGGAUAGAAUCAAUAAUGUAUUUGUGAGCCCAGAGCAAUGGAUAUAUUGUGCAACAUACUAAAGUGUGAAUUUAAUGGAAAACAAGUACAUGUACUCAUGUAUUACAUGUCUUUUUUAAAGACAAUAAUAUUGUAUAAAUAUAGAGGAAGUGUCAUUGUUGAUUAUUCUAAGUUUUUGAUAUAUCAAAAUCAGUAAACAUUUCUAAAUGAAAAUAAAAUACCAAUUUUAUAACUUUAA